Molecule: ribosomal RNA, 433 nt
Filed under: uncultured bacterium
Lineage: Bacteria
Description: bacterial SSU rRNA
Rfam family: Bacterial small subunit ribosomal RNA
Source: RNAcentral
AGCGGACGCUGGCGGCAGGCCUAACACAUGCAAGUCGAACGGAUCCUUCGGGAUUAGUGGCGGACGGGUGAGUAACACGUGGGAACGUGCCUUUUGGUUCGGAACAACUCAGGGAAACUUGAGCUAAUACCGAAUGUGCCCUUCGGGGGAAAGAUUUAUCGCCAUUAGAGCGGCCCGCGUCUGAUUAGCUAGUUGGUGGGGUAAAGGCUCACCAAGGCUACGAUCAGUAGCUGGUCUGAGAGGAUGAUCAGCCACAUUGGGACUGAGACACGGCCCAAACUCCUACGGGAGGCAGCAGUGGGGAAUCUUGCGCAAUGGGCGAAAGCCUGACGCAGCCAUGCCGCGUGAAUGAUGAAGGUCUUAGGAUUGUAAAAUUCUUUCACCGGGGACAUAAUGACGGUACCCGGAGAAGAACGCCCGGACUAACUUCGUG